CCGAUUAAAUCGGCCGAUAUUUGACCUUUUUUAAUCCAUUGGCAUCGGUCGAUGGUCGUGGCCGAUAUGGCCGAUUUAUAUUCUGGCACGUCCGCAGGCAGCCCACUGUUAUUGAUGUGGUGGAUCGUGCAGCCGCUGCGUGAGAAGGACCCAAGCCAAAACUUUUUUGAACACACAACUCUCCUCGGAAAAGAGACACAUCUUCUUCUGACAGUUCCUCCUCCUGAUCAAGUUCCUCCUCCUGGUCAAGUUCCUCCUCAGUAGGGUUCCAAAUAAACUCAAAUCUGCUGCAGUGGAGCUUCUUUUCAUUGUGGUGUCUGCGAAAAGCUGGUCCUGAGAGGUUUUGAGCUUUCAUACCCAUCAAAGAAUAAAAACACGUUUACACACCUGUAGUUUUGAAGUUGUGUAUGUGUGCGUGUGUGCACGUGCAUGCGUGCGUGUGUACGUACAUGUGUGCAUAAUCAGUCACAGCAGUAGACUCUUAUGUGUAAUUGAACACAGAUCACAGCUUAGUAACAACCUGGCAACGGAGAAACUUUCUGGUCCCGUCAAAGCUUAUAGAGAUUGUGGAGUUUCCCAAACUAAAUAAGUACCGCAUGUAUAAACACUAAACUGCUUUGAUAGUUCAGUUGUGUAGUGACUAAGAUAACUGCUGACAAAGAGAUUUUUCCAUGGACAGAUUGGCCUCCUAACUUCACAUUUGUUUUGAAGCUUGUGCCGUAUCAGCGACUCACCGGAACAGCUGAGGAUGGGCCAAACAUUUCCAGUAACUCCACAGCAUUGUAAAGUCCAAAAGACAAAUUGUGUUGAACAAAGAUCGAUGGAAUCAAAAUGAAUAUCGUGCUAGUAUUCUAAAUAUAAAUAUUUUCUCUUCACUCACUGAACUGUUUAAACUCCAACAUGCUGCACACAGACGAGGUACACACCUAUAUUAACGAGGUGGUCGAAUUCAUUAAAGAAAGCUGAAUUUGUAAAUUCAGAUGUAUUACUUUAUUAAAGUUGACUUCCAGUGGACUUACUCGUAUUUAUUUACAUGUUCUAUAUUUUCAGGAGGUGACAAUGUGGAGAUGGCGGAGUGAUAUUUUUAGUGAUUAGUCAGGUGUGCUGUCAUGCUGAUUAAAGCACAUUCUAAAUGUCUAGUUGACCAAUCAGAUUCCUUGACCUACUUGUUGUAUAAUUUUACUUGAGUAAUAUUAUUCUAAAGUAACAAUAGUCUUACUUGAGUAAAGUUACUAUUUUGGCUACUCUAAGAUUACUCACUUCUGGGUGGAAAAUAAGAAUAUAAAUAUAUUUGUGUUCCAUUGACUGUUAUUUCUGGAAAGAUUUAAUUUAUUUUUGUGGUAGUUGAAGUUUAAAGUACAUGAAUUUGCUGAUUGUUGAUUAUUAUUUUGAUUGAAUGAUUGCAUUAAUGUUAUUUGAUGAAUAAAUCAGACUUUAGGCUACUCAAAAGUUA
Long non-coding RNA from Mugil cephalus (flathead mullet), 1453 nucleotides. RefSeq lists it as uncharacterized. NCBI's taxonomy places the organism in Eukaryota, Metazoa, Chordata, Actinopteri, Mugiliformes, Mugilidae. The record is from RefSeq and is a predicted model, not a curated record. The transcript is spliced from 2 exons.